Molecule: ribosomal RNA, 107 nt
Organism: Endozoicomonas sp.
Lineage: Bacteria; Pseudomonadati; Pseudomonadota; Gammaproteobacteria; Oceanospirillales; Endozoicomonadaceae
Rfam family: Bacterial large subunit ribosomal RNA
Source: Rfam
GGUCAAGUGACUAAGCGCACACGGUGGAUGCCUUGGCAGUCAGAGGCGAUGAAGGACGUGGUAAUCUGCGAUAAGCCUGGGGAAGCUGAUAAACAAGCUGUGAUCCC